Molecule: ribosomal RNA, 253 nt
Filed under: uncultured bacterium
Lineage: Bacteria
Description: partial 16S ribosomal RNA
Rfam family: Bacterial small subunit ribosomal RNA
Source: RNAcentral
UACGGAGGGUGCAAGCGUUGUCCGGAAUCACUGGGCGUAAAGGGCGCGUAGGCGGCUCAUGAAGGCUGUGGUGAAAGUCCGGGGCUCAACCUCGGAUCGGCCGUGGCGACUCGUGGGCUGGAGCACUGUAGAGGCGGGUGGAAUUCCGGGUGUAGCGGUGGAAUGCGUAGAGAUCCGGAAGAACACCAGUGGCGAAGGCGGCUCGCUGGACAUGUAUUGACGCUGAGGUGCGAAAGCGUGGGGAGCAAACAGG